Molecule: ribosomal RNA, 987 nt
Filed under: Salmonella enterica
Lineage: Bacteria; Pseudomonadati; Pseudomonadota; Gammaproteobacteria; Enterobacterales; Enterobacteriaceae
Description: partial 23S ribosomal RNA
Rfam family: Bacterial large subunit ribosomal RNA
Source: RNAcentral
UGUAACGGGGCUAAACCAUGCACCGAAGCUGCGGCAGCGACACUGUGUGUUGUUGGGUAGGGGAGCGUUCUGUAAGCCUGUGAAGGUGUGUCGUGAGGCAUGCUGGAGGUAUCAGAAGUGCGAAUGCUGACAUAAGUAACGAUAAAGCGGGUGAAAAGCCCGCUCGCCGGAAGACCAAGGGUUCCUGUCCAACGUUAAUCGGGGCAGGGUGAGUCGACCCCUAAGGCGAGGCCGAAAGGCGUAGUCGAUGGGAAACGGGUUAAUAUUCCCGUACUUGGUGUUACUGCGAAGGGGGGACGGAGAAGGCUAUGUUGGCCGGGCGACGGUUGUCCCGGUUUAAGCGUGUAGGUGUGUGUUCCAGGUAAAUCCGGUUCACUUUAACACUGAGGCGUGACGACGAGGCACUACGGUGCUGAAGCAACAAAUGCCCUGCUUCCAGGAAAAGCCUCUAAGCAUCAGGUAACAUCAAAUCGUACCCCAAACCGACACAGGUGGUCAGGUAGAGAAUACCAAGGCGCUUGAGAGAACUCGGGUGAAGGAACUAGGCAAAAUGGUGCCGUAACUUCGGGAGAAGGCACGCUGACACGUAGGUGAAGUGAUUUACUCAUGGAGCUGAAGUCAGUCGAAGAUACCAGCUGGCUGCAACUGUUUAUUAAAAACACAGCACUGUGCAAACACGAAAGUGGACGUAUACGGUGUGACGCCUGCCCGGUGCCGGAAGGUUAAUUGAUGGGGUCAGCGCAAGCGAAGCUCCUGAUCGAAGCCCCGGUAAACGGCGGCCGUAACUAUAACGGUCCUAAGGUAGCGAAAUUCCUUGUCGGGUAAGUUCCGACCUGCACGAAUGGCGUAAUGAUGGCCAGGCUGUCUCCACCCGAGACUCAGUGAAAUUGAACUCGCUGUGAAGAUGCAGUGUACCCGCGGCAAGACGGAAAGACCCCGUGAACCUUUACUAUAGCUUGACACUGAACAUUGAGCCUUGAUGUGUAG